This is a long non-coding RNA of Chelonia mydas (Green sea turtle), 544 nucleotides long. RefSeq lists it as uncharacterized. The transcript is spliced from 3 exons. The record is from RefSeq and is a predicted model, not a curated record. Lineage: Eukaryota; Metazoa; Chordata; Testudines; Cheloniidae.
GGAAAGCAGAACAUUGAGCAGCAAAGCAGCAAAAUAUAGAGAGAGCGCAGAAGGACCACUCAGAGGAAGGAAGACUACAGGAAAAGUUUAAACCUAUAAAUAGGGACAGAAAACUGGACAACGCUGUUAAAGAAAUACUGCUGAUACAAGACUUCUGCCGCCACGGGGAGCAACGCCAUGAACAAGAUGGAAGUCAAAACCAACCAAUAGGUUUUCAUGAGAUUACAGAAGACAGUAUGAUUUGUUUUUAAAUAGGUGUUUGAAAUAACGGUUAUUGGAAAUAGUUUUCAUGUUUCUAGGGGGGGUGCGUUAACAGGUGUAUUGGGGACUAUGUUUGUUGUUGUUAGUAAAAAAAAAAAAAAAAAAAAAGCUGCCUUUGCCCCCAAAGGUUUUACUAUAAAAAAGUUUCGCUGGACGUUGUUGAGAAUUUGGAAGCUGUACUGCCCCCAUAUGGCGUAAGCGGGAAUAGCGCUUUAUUUUUGUACAUUGUAUUUGAACAUAGUUUUUAGCCCCCCUUACUAAAAAAAAUGUUUCAGCAUUGAGG